Molecule: transfer RNA, 72 nt
Filed under: Sus scrofa (pig)
Lineage: Eukaryota; Metazoa; Chordata; Mammalia; Artiodactyla; Suidae
Source: Rfam by way of RNAcentral
UCCCUGGUGGUCUAGAGGUUAGGACUCAGCACAUUCACUGCUGCAGCCCAGGUUCACUUCCUGGUCUGGGCA